RNAcentral lists this ribosomal RNA (497 nucleotides) under uncultured bacterium. RNAcentral's name for it is "partial 16S ribosomal RNA". It matches the Rfam family "Bacterial small subunit ribosomal RNA", at positions 28 to 507 of the family's 1533-position model. The record is from RNAcentral.
GAUGAACGCUGGCGGCGUGCCUAAUACAUGCAAGUCGAGCGAACAGACGAGGAGCUUGCUCCUCUGACGUUAGCGGCGGACGGGUGAGAAACACGUGGAUAACCUACCUAUAAGACUGGGAUAACUUCGGGAAACCGGAGCUAAUACCGGAUAAUAUAUUGAACCGCAUGGUUCAAUAGUGAAAGACGGUUUUGCUGUCACUUAUAGAUGGAUCCGCGCCGCAUUAGCUAGUUGGUAAGGUAACGGCUUACCAAGGCAACGAUGCGUAGCCGACCUGAGAGGGUGAUCGGCCACCCUGGAACUGAGACACGGUCCAGACUCCUACGGGAGGCAGCAGUAGGGAAUCUUCCGCAAUGGGCGAAAGCUUGACGGAGCAACGCCGCGUGAGUGAUGAAGGUCUUCGGAUCGUAAAACUCUGUUAUUAGGGAAGAACAAAUGUGUAAGUAACUAUGCACGUCUUGACGGUACCUAAUCAGAAAGCCACGGCUAACUACGUG